GUUGCAUGGCUGUCGUCAGCUCGUGACGUGAGUUGUUCUCUUAAGUGAGGUAACGAGCGCAACCCCCGUUCUGUGUUAUUGUGUCACAGAAGACUGCCUAGCAUUAUUUUGUUAGGAGGAAGGAGGGGACGACGUCAAGUCAUCAUGAUGCUUAUAUCCAGGGCUACACACAUCCUACAAUGGGCUAUAACAGAGGGUUGCAAGACCGCAAGGUGGAGCUAAUCCCUAAACUAGCCCUCAGUUGGGAUUGCGGGCUGAAACUCGCCCGCAUGAACCCGGAAUUGGUAGUAAUCGCACAUCAGCAGCGUGCGGUGAAUACGUUCUCGCCUCUU
Molecule: ribosomal RNA, 332 nt
Filed under: uncultured Microgenomates group bacterium
Lineage: Bacteria
Description: bacterial SSU rRNA
Rfam family: Bacterial small subunit ribosomal RNA
Source: RNAcentral